AACGCUACGCAGCUACACACUGCAGUCCUACGGGUAGAAUGUCUUCGGAUAUUUGAGACGGCGCACGGGUGCGUAACGCGUAUGCAACCUACCUUUUACUGGGGAAUAGCCCGGAGAAAUUCGGAUUAAUGCCCCAUAUGCUCGUACGACCUCAUGGUCGAGCGAGGAAAGUUCCGGCGGUAAGAGAUGGGCAUGCGUCCUAUUAGCUAGUUGGUGAGGUAAUGGCUCACCAAGGCGACGAUAGGUAGGGGGCCUGAGAGGGUGAUCCCCCACACUGGUACUGAGACACGGACCAGACUCCUACGGGAGGCAGCAGUGAGGAAUAUUGGGCAAUGGAGGAAACUCUGACCCAGCCAUGCCGCGUGCAGGAAGACGGCCCUAUGGGUUGUAAACUGCUUUUGUACGAGAAUAAACCCUUCCACGUGUGGAAGGCUGAAGGUACCGUACGAAUAAGGAUCGGCUAACUCCGUGCCAGCAGCCGCGGUAAUACGGAGGAUCCAAGCGUUAUCCGGAUUUAUUGGGU
Molecule: ribosomal RNA, 523 nt
Filed under: uncultured Bacteroidota bacterium
Lineage: Bacteria; Pseudomonadati; Bacteroidota
Description: bacterial SSU rRNA
Rfam family: Bacterial small subunit ribosomal RNA
Source: RNAcentral